Molecule: ribosomal RNA, 243 nt
Filed under: uncultured marine eukaryote
Lineage: Eukaryota
Description: partial 18S ribosomal RNA
Rfam family: Eukaryotic small subunit ribosomal RNA
Source: RNAcentral
CUUAAUUUGACUCAACGCGGGGAAACUCACCAGGUCCAGACAAAUAAGGAUUGACAGAUUGAGAGCUCUUUCUUGAUCUUUUGGAUGGUGGUGCAUGGCCGUUCUUAGUUGGUGGAGUGAUUUGUCUGCUUAAUUGCGAUAACGAACGAGACCUCGGCCCUUAAAUAGCCCGGUCCGCAUUUGCGGGCCGCUGGCUUCUUAAGGGGACUAUCGGCUCAAGCCGAUGGAAGUGCGCGGCAAUAA